RNAcentral lists this ribosomal RNA (332 nucleotides) under uncultured eukaryote. Its description in RNAcentral is "partial 18S ribosomal RNA". It matches the Rfam family "Eukaryotic small subunit ribosomal RNA", at positions 1470 to 1796 of the family's 1831-position model. The record is from RNAcentral.
CCCUUAGAUGUCCUGGGCUGCACGCGCGCUACACUGGAAGUUACGGAUUGAGAUACUACCUUGUCCGAAAUGGUCCGGGUAAUCACCUAAAAGCUUGUCAUAAUUGGAAUGGAUUAUUGUAACUAGUAAUCCUGAACGAGGAAUUCCUAGUAAGUCCCAGUCAACAGCUGGUGCUGAUUACGUCCCUGCCCUUUGUACACACCGCCCGUCGCUACUACUGAUUGGACGUUUAAGCAAGAUUUUUAAACACUGACAGUGUGUAGUUCACGCUAUACUACAGUGAGAAGAAGAAGAUCGAGCUUACUUGUCUAGAGGAAGUAAAAGUCGUAACA